AGUGCAACCAACCAAGCCACACGCGAGCGCGGUAGCUCGCUCUAACCCUAACCUAUCCGUCGCUUUUCAAAAGCCCACAAACUCUACAGUUUUCAGCUAGUUUCUGUAGGCUUGUUCGUGCGACCGAAGAAAAAAACCUGCUGUGAUCAUUGCGUUGUCUGUGUUUCGUUUGUUGGGUUGGCCUGACCAGCCAACGCGUGCCAUUAUGGCGGUGCAUUGAUUGUCUGACCACGGUAGAACCGCCUCGUAAUUUUUUACCCAACCGUGGUUCUGUCACACGUUGGUGUUAUGAAGAUUACACGGGCGACAUACUACCUUCACAGUCUGGCAUGCCAGUGCACCGACACGUAGAGUAAAACUGCCAUUGCUUCACUUGUCAGCACUUUGAACCGUAGGUGUUGGCAUGACAGCAAUGUCAAACAGGU
Molecule: non-coding RNA, 425 nt
Filed under: Patiria miniata (bat star)
Lineage: Eukaryota; Metazoa; Echinodermata; Asteroidea; Valvatida; Asterinidae
Source: RNAcentral